This is a long non-coding RNA of Corapipo altera (White-ruffed manakin), 2184 nucleotides long. RefSeq lists it as uncharacterized. The transcript has 2 exons. The record is from RefSeq and is a predicted model, not a curated record. NCBI's taxonomy places the organism in Eukaryota, Metazoa, Chordata, Aves, Passeriformes, Pipridae.
UAGUCCCCCUCUUAUCAGUUACCAUUACAUGGCAAAAUUAACCACCUUAGUCUCGUACUAACAAUGCUACUUUUGUAUUAUGUUUAUUGCAUUAUCUUAUAUAUUGUUCAUAAUCAUGCAUACUCUUGCUUUUUUUUAAUACUGAUGUUUUCCAUUAAAUGCACUUGUGUCAUUUUAAAAAAUCAAUAGCCGUAUUAUCUUCAGAUCGCCUCAUGUAUUGUGGCACUGUAAGAAACGAGGUGUUGGAAAUAAAAUGUUAAGCCACCCAAAGCCACUGCAGUUAAUCAUAUUUAACAUCUGACUAAACUAGGCUCACUCAGAGCUUUUGGUAGAGUCCUGCUUAAGCCAUUCUGUUGUAUUAUGUGAGAGGCCAUUAAUAGCUGCAUUUGCUAUUAAAACUGGAUGUAGUUCUAAGAAGCCAAAGGCCCUGUUCAAGUUUAGGAAUAUUUUGUAUCUUUCAUUUCUCUGGUACAAAAGGUCUUGGAAUGGCUUACCAUUUGUUUUUCUGUGACCUACAGAUAGACUACUGAUCAUAAAUCUAUUUGCUUUUAAUUAGUAUAUCAUCAUGAAAAGCAUAUGAGAGGAGACUGGAGAGAGUACAUCCUGCUGGUCAACCUCCCUAGUGCUGAGUUGCUUUUUAUUUACUCUCUUGAACCUGUAAUGAAAAUGCACAUACUCUACUGCAAUUAAAGUCUUAACUUUCGUCAUCACUAUUCUUAUUUCCACCACAAAACUGAUGUGAAAACUCAGCUUUUGUGUUGCCUGAAUAACAUAAUUCCCCCAACAACUCACACUUGAAGUGGAACAAAAACCCCAACUCUGAAGAGCAAGAAGAGAGCAGAGUAUUAAGGCAGGGCAGGCACCAGUGUGGAGAGCCAGGUUUUUUAUGAAACACAGUGGGAUUAGAGACAGAUUUCCAGAGUCGAGUACAUCAAUGAAAGGGGACAGAAGCUUAAGGAUGUCCUACUGCAUAUUACUUUAAAAGAUAAAUAUGAUGAAAUUUUCCCUGUGGAAGGCUCAUUAUAAAUCCAUCACAAUCAGAUGUCUCUGCAGAAACAACCAGCAUAAAGAGACAGCCUGGCUUUCCUCAAUCAAGUCAAAAAGGAAUGAAUAUGCUUCACCUCUGAGACACUCUAAAUGAAUACAAAAAUAACAUAAUUUUAAACUGAACUCUGGAUAUACCUAUGUACUCUUGAGAGAAAUACGGGUUUCAGUGUUGUCUCCCUGAGAAUUCUUUUAGCUUUGACUACACGCCUUGUAAAUAGGUUCACAUAAAAAAGGAUGCAUCUUUGCUUACUCUGUGUAAACAAAACUAGUCCAUGUGGUUGACAACAGUUUCGCUUAUAUGUGUGUAAGAUUUCUAUUGACUGACAGCUUUGUUUCCAAGUGCCACAGAAAGACUGGGAAAGCUGUCCGUUUGUCUUGUUUAGUAAGGCAAUCUUAGAGACUUUUAGGAUCAGAAAUAGUUUUCUUGCUUUGUAUUGGUGACUGUAAAUCAAUAUUGAUACAAAAUACAACUACUGCCAUAGUGAAAAAUAAGGAAAGUGUAAGCAAGCCUUUUCAUUUUCAGGAACACAACCACAAAACAUCUCAAGCAGCAGUUUCCAUGUACUUUUUAAUUAUCCAAAUGCAGGGAUUGACACCAGUUUUUAGAACACUGAAAAAAUAACAUCAAUAAGAAAAAAAGCAGGAUUACCCAACUGUCUUUCUUUAGUCCCUCUUCAAAGAUCAACUGUAACUAGUUUAGAUUAGGUUGAAUAAUAUCAUAUAUUUAGUAAAUUAGGUACACAUAAAUACUGAAGGUAACUACAACUGAGCUAAAGGUAUUUAUAAGUAAUCUUCAUAGAUAAAGACAAAACAUUUAUGUUGUAAUUGUAAAUUAAAUUCAUUAUUACAUUCAGUGCAUUAUACUCAUUAAUCAGAUGCAUAUUAAAAAGUAUGUAAGCAUGACAGUCAUUGCCUAACAAAGAGGAAUUGACAUUAAUAACAGAAGAGGGCUUCGAUAGAUAUACAACAAUUUGGUUAGUUAAAAAUUGGUUCAGGCAAAGACGGUAACAGUUUCUACUCCAGAAGUAAACAAUAUUCUCAAUUUCAAAAGGACAAGCUUUUAAAAACCAGAGAACUUACCUGUGAAGUAAGGGACCAAGGAAUUCAAAUAUUAAGGAUAAUAUAAUUAAGUGAAAA